CACUAUCUUUCGUUCUCGGCCCCUGAGAGCCCUUGCAUUGGAUAAAUGCAGUUAUUUCACAGAUUCUGGAAGUUGGCGCCAGUCUCCAGUUAAAGCUGCGAAGCUUAAGGGCCUUCGUAACAAAAGGAACUUCCAAGAGAGAGACACAGCCUGAGUGGGGGAGGAGCAGAGAGAGAGGGAGACACAGAAUCCAAAGCAGGCUCCAGGCUCUGAGCUGUCAGCACAGAGCCCUGCAUGGGCUCAAACCCACCAACUGUGAGAUCGUGACCUGAGCUGAAGUCGGAUGCUUAACUGAUUGAGCCACCCAGGCGCCCCUAAAAAUUGUAUGUUCUAAGCAUACUUUUCUGGGGAAAAGAUCUACAGUUUUUAUGAGAUUCUCCCAGUGAUGUGACCUAGAAAAGAUUAAUAAUCAUGAUAUGCAAAUUCUUAUGUUAUCUGAGGAAAACAGACCCAAGGACAACUCUGCUGGAGAAUCCUGACCUCUGAGAAACACUUCCUUUUCUCCAAAAAACUUUGGAACUAAGUCAUGGUUUAUGUUCAGUGUAUUUGAGGUCAUAUUGUUGAUUUGAUUAUAAAGCUUUUGUGAUGAGGCAUACUUACUGCAAAAGGGUUGGUUUUUUUUUUUUUUUUAAGUCACAUUAUCCAAAAAGAAAAAGCAACUCACCAAGACUCCGCAAAAUUCUAUUCAUCCCACUGGGCUCAGACUCUGGAAUUGUUUCCAAAUACUGGAGGGCCCGGACCUCAAACAAACCUACAAGGAAAACUCAUGUUGGUGAAAUUUUCCAAUACUUACUGAAAAUCACUUAAAUAAACCUCUGUGCUUUCUA
Molecule: long non-coding RNA, 827 nt
Organism: Acinonyx jubatus (cheetah)
Lineage: Eukaryota; Metazoa; Chordata; Mammalia; Carnivora; Felidae
Exons: 2
Source: RefSeq, a predicted model, not a curated record